RNAcentral lists this ribosomal RNA (363 nucleotides) under uncultured eukaryote. RNAcentral describes it as "partial 18S ribosomal RNA". It matches the Rfam family "Eukaryotic small subunit ribosomal RNA", at positions 592 to 977 of the family's 1831-position model. The record is from RNAcentral.
CAAUAGCGUAUAUUAAAGUUGUUGCAGUUAAAAAGCUCGUAGCUGAAUUGAUGAAGUUUGUUCUUCAAGCUCUAAAAAGUUCGAAUGAACGUAAGCUUCAACUUGUUGAUUGGAAAUGCUUUAUGCAUUGCCAUAUCAACUUUUACUUUGAGUAAAUUAGAGUGUUUCAAGCAGGCUGACUGCCUUGAAUACUCCAGCAUGGAAUAAUCGAAUGACAUUCGAAGUUUUUGUUGGUUGACGCGGAGAUGUAUUGAUUGAUAGGAACAGCUGGGGGUAUUCGUAUUCAACAGUCAGAGGUGAAAUUCUUAGAUUUGUUGAAGACGAACUAAUGCGAAAGCAUUUACCAAGAAUGUUUCCAUUAGC